AUAAUCUAAUUCAUGUCGGGUUCCUGCAGGCACUGCAGGAAAAUAGGGAACCAGGUGCAAGUCCUGGACGGUCCGGCCACUGUAAGUGGGAAGCCACCUAAGCAAAAAAACCACUGGAGUGGUACUCAGCGUUAAAAGAAGAUUUCAUAAAGGUAACCUGGGUUAUUUAAGGGUGUUAUGUUUGGGUUACUGUAAAUCUUAGAAGUGCUGAGUGCCAUCCUGGGAAGGUAGCUAGGUAGGUAAUGAUUCACAAGUCAGGAGAUCUAUCCGGCAUUGUGGGUACAU
Molecule: non-coding RNA, 285 nt
Filed under: Peptococcaceae bacterium SCADC1_2_3
Lineage: Bacteria; Bacillati; Bacillota; Clostridia; Eubacteriales; Peptococcaceae
Also listed under: 1 other name
Source: RNAcentral